Molecule: ribosomal RNA, 904 nt
Filed under: uncultured Bacillota bacterium
Lineage: Bacteria; Bacillati; Bacillota
Description: bacterial SSU rRNA
Rfam family: Bacterial small subunit ribosomal RNA
Source: RNAcentral
CAAGUCGAACGAGAAAGCAGGAGCAAUCUUGUGAGUAAAGUGGCGUACGGGUGAGUAACACGUGGAUUAUCUACCCUCUUGUGGGGGAUAACCCUGGGAAACCGGGGCUAAUACCGCAUAAGCUCGAGAGAGGAAAGCAGCAAUGCGCAGGAGGAGGAGUCCGCGGCCGAUUAGCUAGUUGGUAGGGUAAAAGCCUACCAAGGCUACGAUCGGUAGCCGGCCUGAGAGGGCACACGGCCACACUGGCACUGAAACACGGGCCAGACUCCUACGGGAGGCAGCAGUGGGGAAUCUUGCACAAUGGGGGCAACCCUGAUGCAGCGACGCCGCGUGAGCGAUGAAGCCCUUCGGGGUGUAAAGCUCUUUCGGCAGGGAAGAUUAUGACGGUACCUGCAGAAGCAGCUGCGGCUAACUACGUGCCAGCAGCCGCGGUAAUACGUAGGCAGCAAGCGUUGUUCGGAGUUACUGGGCGUAAAGGGUGUGUAGGCGGUUCUCUAAGUCUGGUGUGAAAUCUCCCGGCUCAACUGGGAGGGUGCGCCGAAAACUGGAGGACUAGAGUGCGGGAUGGGAGAGUGGAAUUCCUGGUGUAGCGGUGAAAUGCGUAGAUAUCAGGAGGAACACCUGUGGUGUAGACGGCUCUCUGGACCGCAACUGACGCUGAGACACGAAAGCGUGGGUAGCAAACAGGAUUAGAUACCCUGGUAGUCCACGCCCUAAACGAUGCAUAUUUGGUGUGGGCCAUUCAUUUGGUCUGUGCCGGAGCUAACGCGUUAAAUAUGCCGCCUGGGGAGUACGGUCGCAAGGCUGAAACUCAAAGGAAUUGACGGGGGCCCGCACAAGCGGUGGAGCAUGUGGUUCAAUUCGACGCAACGCGAAAAACCUUACCUGGGCUCGAACGGCUCAC